AUGGGAAGACCUUGUGGCGCUUUAAUUCAUUAGCAAAUAAAAACUCAAACAAGCUUACAGGCUCUAGCCUACUAUCCCUGCAUUAAAAAUUUUGGUUUGGGUGACCUUGGAACAUAAUUCAACCUCCAAACAACCUGAACUAAGACCACACUAGUCUAAGAGAGUUAACACACAUUGACCCAGUAAUUUGAUCAAUGGAGUAAGUUAUCCUGGGGAUAACAGCACAAUCCUAUUCUAGAGUUCAUAUCAACAAUAGGGUUUAUGAUCCAAUGUUGGAGCAGGACAUCCUAAUGGUGUAGCCACUAUUAAGAGUUUGUUUGUCCAACAAUUAAGGUCCUAUGUGAUCUGAGUUUAGACUAGAGUAAUCCAGAUCGGUUUCUAU
Molecule: non-coding RNA, 382 nt
Filed under: Callithrix jacchus (white-tufted-ear marmoset)
Lineage: Eukaryota; Metazoa; Chordata; Mammalia; Primates; Cebidae
Description: Bacterial large subunit ribosomal RNA
Rfam family: Bacterial large subunit ribosomal RNA
Source: Rfam by way of RNAcentral